This 484-nucleotide ribosomal RNA is filed under the name uncultured bacterium. RNAcentral describes it as "partial 16S ribosomal RNA". It matches the Rfam family "Bacterial small subunit ribosomal RNA", at positions 30 to 507 of the family's 1533-position model. The record is from RNAcentral.
AUUGAACGCUGGCGGCAGGCCUAACACAUGCCAGUCGAGCGGAUGAAGGGAGCUUGCUCCUGGAUUCAGCGGCGGACGGGUGAGUAAUGCCUAGGAAUCUGCCUGGUAGUGGGGGAUAACGUCCGGAAACGGGCGCUAAUACCGCAUACGUCCUGAGGGAGAAAGUGGGGGAUCUUCGGACCUCACGCUAUCAGAUGAGCCUAGGUCGGAUUAGCUAGUUGGUGGGGUAAAGGCCUACCAAGGCGACGAUCCGUAACUGGUCUGAGAGGAUGAUCAGUAACACUGGAACUGAGACACGGUCCAGACUCAUACGGGAGGCAGCAGUGGGGAAUAUUGGACAAUGGGCGAAAGCCUGAUCCAGCCAUGCCGCGUGUGUGAAGAAGGUCUUCGGAUUGUAAAGAACUUUAAGUUGGGAGGAAGGGCAGUAAGUUAAUACCUUGCUGUUUUGACGUUACCAACAGAAUAAGCACCGGCUAACUUCGUG